ACCGCAGACCGCCUUAUCGCCGUCCUGAUUUAUCGGGAGGGAGGAAAGUCCGGACACCACAGAGAAGCAUAGCGGCUAACGGCCGUCGUCCCGAUGAAUCGGGAUAGGACAAGUGCAACAGAAAGCAGGUACAGGUAAUGCUGUAGUGAAACCAGGUAAACUCUAUGCGGUGAAAUUUCAAGUAUAUCGACUCUUAAGGGUGCUCGCCCGUUGUCGAAGGGUAGAAAGAUGGAUUCCGAUAGUAAUAUCGGGACUAGAUAAAUGAUAAGGCUCCAUUUAUUGGAGACAGAAUCCGGCUUAUAGGUCUGCUUUUUUA
This 316-nucleotide RNase P RNA is filed under the name Flavobacterium sp. Its description in RNAcentral is "RNase P RNA component class A". It matches the Rfam family "Bacterial RNase P class A". Rfam says of the family: Ribonuclease P (RNase P) is a ubiquitous endoribonuclease, found in archaea, bacteria and eukarya as well as chloroplasts and mitochondria. Its best characterised activity is the generation of mature 5'-ends of tRNAs by cleaving the 5'-leader elements of precursor-tRNAs. Lineage: Bacteria; Pseudomonadati; Bacteroidota; Flavobacteriia; Flavobacteriales; Flavobacteriaceae. The record is from RNAcentral.